This is a long non-coding RNA of Schistocerca americana (American grasshopper), 4515 nucleotides long. RefSeq lists it as uncharacterized. The record is from RefSeq and is a predicted model, not a curated record. The transcript has 3 exons. Lineage: Eukaryota; Metazoa; Arthropoda; Insecta; Orthoptera; Acrididae.
AGAGAAGCGUGGGCUUGAUGCAACGUGUUUGUUAUGUCAUGAGGCAUAUAAAUAUCGGAAGCGGUCGUCAGAGCUGGUCUUUAUGCUUCGUGUGUCGAGGCAGGUUGACCAGUGGUCUGUUAAUGAUCUAUCAUGGAAUUACGAGCAGCUUUUGUCAACGCUUCAGUAUCCACUCAUGGGAUACGUUCCAACUUCAUAAUGCAGCCACUGAGGGGUGUUCAGGGAGCAAAACAAUGUGCCAGUUUCACAGGCAACAACCAUAUGCCUAUUCAUACACAGCAAGAAACUGAUGGUAAAUAAUAAUUCUUUUUGAAAAAAAAAAAGGUAAAAGGGGAAGAAAACGGACUAAUGUGCUUAAUGCCAGCCUCAAUGACAUGUAGUGAAUUUUCAGUUUGUAAGAACUAUGAAAGACAUGAGAACUAAUAGUUCUGGAAAAGUUACUAGCUAAAACAAACAUGCACAGUACAUUGUUCACGUCGCUGGAUCAUCUGGACACAGCAAACAUGAUCUAUCAUGCUUAGGAAUGUAUAAUUUAUAGACUCUUCACUAAAAAAUCAAAUUUGGCAUUCUGCUGUUUGAUCAGUUCUAUGUUGUGCAUUUAGAUUUUAAGUGAACCUUGUUUCAAAACUACAUUGUAAUACUGUGUAUAAUAGCAGUCUAAGCUCUGGGUGGAAGGGGGAAAUCUCUGUAUACAGCUUGGGUUGUCUGCUGGAUAAGGAGUUUUUGAACAAAAAGUUGGAAGUAUAUAUUGGCACAGGAUAUUCUAAAAAAGCCUAUAUGGGCCCAACUUGGAUAGCUUUGGAUGUACACCUUGGAAGUAGUACUGUGGAGAAACCUUUCACAUAUGUGAUGUGGAGAUGUGUUAAGAAUCUUCUACAUUAGUGUAAGGUUCAAAUCUAUUAAAGAAAACAAAUGAGUAAAAUGUUUUUGAGUUAAAUUGUGGAGUUAUGCAAUAACUAUGAUAGUAUUGCACUUGGCCCCAUGUGGCUAUUACAGAAAACACACUGUGAUAUUACAGUAAAAAGUCAAAUGGUGACUAAGGAAAACAUAUUGCGCUGUGGAAGAUUUAGACGUGUGUGUGUGUGUGUGUGUGUGUGUGUGUGUGUGUGACUAUAGUGCCUUUACUUCCAGGUGCAAUUUUGUGGUAGACUAACAGAACUGUGGGCUGGGGAACAUCAUUUAGAAACACAAACCCGACAAUCAAGGCCUACAUCCAGCAAUCUCAAAAGUAUCGCUAUUCUGGGAUAAAUGUCUACCGGCGACACAUUGACAGGCACUUCUGUUUGAUUAUAUUAUUUGCACACGGUCACUUUUGAAAUGUGUAUGACUAAACAUGUCACCUAAAUAAAUGUUUGUGUAAUUUGUGAUAUUAUGGUGUAGUAUGCUUUCUGUAACUGCCCUAUUCUAAACACCUUAUUUCAGCAUCAAUUAAAGAAAAUGUGUGGAAUAUGUACAAGCCCAAUUAGUAAUAUCAGAGGUCUGUGUAGCAGAAUCAUUUGACUGUCUUCAUCUGCUGUAAAAGUUUUAAAAUAUAGUUCCUUAUUUCAUCAAAGUAUCACUAAAUGGCUGCAUAACAGUGUCUAGGUAUCUUGGGAAGACAUUGGGCUUGUUUGACGAGUUGGGUUCAAAUCUGCAUACAGUAAUUUAUUUCCUUUGGUUUUUCUAAGGUAAAUGAUGUGAUAGUUAAUUUUAAUAGGACACAGCAACUUUCUUUGAUCUUUGUUUAGUCAUAUCCUCUUCUUUGACAUUGUCAGAAUGUUAAAUCCCAGUACUAGGAUGAAAAAUACUAAGAUUUCAUGUUUCACUUUUGAGACUUUCUGGCACAUUAAAACUGUGUACUGGACUGGGACCUGCUGUUGUUUUUCUAUUUGUCAUUAAAUUAAUAUUGAUUGUUGGCCAUCACCCUUCUCAGUGCAUUUCUGCACUUGGUUUACAUGCUUGCAUUGCAAGCUACUGAUGUGCACUACUAUGAACUGGAAUGUGGCUAUACAUAGUGAAAAGUCCCAUUACAGCUGAGACCUAGUUGGCUUUGUUGAAUAAUAUAUAUAGUCAGUGAAAUGAGAGUAGUAAUGAUAUGGGUUUCAUAAUUCUGCUGGAAUGUAUGAACAUGCCACUGUUCAAACUAAUGGCUAGUGGUUCUUAUGCAGUCUGUGGCUAGAGUGGCCAGCAUUUGCCCCAGUGAACCCAGGUUUCAUGCAUGUUCUAUUUGAAGUGUCUUGCAGGCCCCACUUAGUCUGAAAUGGAUAAUUUAGAAAGGGCCUGAAAAAGCAUAACAUAUUUAAAGAAUAAUGUAGCAAUGCAGUACUACUGCUGCAAUGGAGGUAAAAAAGUUAAAUAAAAUUAGUGUCAUUAUGGUGUGACAUCAGAUUUUUGUAUGCUUAACUUUUUGCUUUCAUGUUCAUUACUUAAUGAAAUUUUAUCCUACAAUGUAGGCUUUCACAGCCAUGGUUUACUUCAGUUAACUCUUGGGCUGAGGUGCUAUGGUAAAUAUGUAAAGCUAUUCCCAAUAUUUCAUCUCCGGCUCUAAGAAACAUCUCUGGUGGUAAAAUGGCAUAGUUAGCUGGAGGUGAAAUGUCACAAUAGUUUAUAGACCAUGGCCUCUCAGCUUAAAACUUUUAACUGUAGUAAAUGAAUUUUGGUUAACUUUCUCAUUACUGAGAUAGUCAUCCUAGAUAGCUUUAAGGUGGCACCAGCAUAGUAAAAUGUGCAUCUGUUUAUGUGAAAGAGGCCAUUGCAACAAGUCUGAGCAGCAAGUUAAGAAGUUUCAUUUUGUGUUACUGGUCUGAGUUUUCGACUUGAACUUUAAUGAGUAACAUGUAAAGGGUCCGUGCCAUUGCAAUGGUUUUAAAAUGCCUAAGAGUGAACAUGUAAAAUUGUCAUCAGGAAAGUGAUAUUACUGGUAAAUUCUGAGUAGUACAUUUGAAUUUAUGCAGAUACUUCAACAACAUUGUUAUAAAAAUUAUUUUGGGUGUUGCUCCUCUGGUGUAAUGUACUAACAAUUUCAAUGAUUUGUAAUUGAAGAGCUGAUUGCAAUGUAUUAUGCAGAGUGUGUGUGUGUGUGUGUGUGUGUGUGUGUGUGUGUGUGUGUGUGUGUGUUGAAAUGUAUAUUCAGAUGUUUUUCUGUGCAGAAGUUGUAGUGAGAGAGUUAUCCUUUAUAAGGAAUGUUUAACUGUGUUCCAGUAUUUGUGGUGUUUGUCCAGGAAGUUGACUGGAAAUUUAAUCCUGAAAAUAGAUUUAAGGUAUUUUUCUUGUUACAGUCACAUUAAAGUAAGUUAAUUUUGUGAUGUGACCAGGUAUCCAGUGCAGUAUUUGUGGAGCAUAAUUUUGUAGUAAACAUUCCAUUGGUUCGCAUGCUUCCUAGUUACUAAAAGUUUGGCACAAUGUAUAUGAACAUGUUAAAAUAAACUGAAAUGUUAGGUUCUCUCUGUUAGUGGAUUUGGCUCUUUAUUUUAACACCAAGUUGUUGGAGUUGGUGCAUAACUCUUUAAACAUGUGAAAACUUACCCUUGGUCUGUAAAUUUCAGUAUUUAUCUUGCAAUUACAAAAAAAAUGUGAUGGAAUUUCAUAGUAAAGCAUGACUUUGGCAGAUUUAUGUAAUAUAGAAUGUCCUGUAACAUUGAUGCCAGUAUUCAGGUUCCAGUGAGUACAAAUGAACUUAGCUGUCUGUAAAUGAAACACAGCUUAACAUUUCUUAUUUUGUAAAUUCUAGUUUACAAAAAUGUAUAUUUAAAAAACUCAUGGUGAAAACUUCAGUACAAGCAAGAUGACAGUGAAUUAAAAUUUAGAGCAUUGUUGAGCCUAUAGAAUUUAUCUGGUUACCUUCCAACUUAUAUUGGAGAUGGUUAUUUGUAUUACAUUUUGUAAUUUUUCCUAUCAUUGUAUAGUUUUAUUUACUGUAAGCUAGAGGCCACAACCUCUUCACAAUUGGUAGAUAUUGUAUGGUGCUGUACUGAACAUAAAAGCCAGCAUUUUUAUAGACAGUGUUGCACAGCUUCAGUGUGUUCAAAGAAAACUGCAAGAGCUGUUAUAAUAUUAGUCAAGCAAAAUUUUCGUCACAAAUUUUGAUUUUUAAUCAGUGACAUGACGGCUGCUUGUCUGAAAAUAGUUCUCUAAAUAUUCAUUAAGACAACUUUUAGUGCUUUAACUUAGUUCCUUAAACAUGGAUUGUGUGCACAUCUUCAAACAAAAUAGUUUUGGUUACUUAUUUUGAUCCAUUGGCUAAGUGUUAUGCAAAAAAUAUUGUCAAGAGUAUGAAAGAGCUGUUCAGAGGUUAAAAUAGUGCAUUUUCAACAUUUUACAGUUGAUGAUGCACAGAAUUAUCUACCGAAAUUACUGACUGGCUUAAAUGUUAUGCAUAUUGUAAAGGUUGUGGUCAUAAAUUUUCAACCUAAUUUGUUGGAAACUGAAAUGGUGCCUGCACCCUAUUUGUCUGCCCUUGAUAUUUUUAAUGAAUAUGUACAUUUUUUGAAUCAUGUUGUGUGAUUUUUAAAUUGUGUAAUAAACUAAUUGAUCAUU